GAAAUGCGAUAAGUAGUGUGAAUUGCAGAAUUCAGUGAAUCAUCGAAUCUUUGAACGCACAUUGCGCCCCUUGGUAUUCCAUGGGGCAUGCCUGUUCGAGCGUCAUUUGUACCCUCAAGCUCUGCUUGGUGUUGGGUGUUUGUCCCCGUCUCCGCGCGUGGACUCGCCCCAAAGUGAUUGGCAGCCGGCGUACUGGUCCCGGAGCGCAGCACAUGUCGCGCAAACGAGUGCCUUGGUACGGCGGCGUCCAUAAGCCCCUCUCUCACGCUCUUGACCUCGGAUCAGAUAGAGAUACCCGCUGAACUUAAGC
Molecule: unclassified non-coding RNA, 310 nt
Filed under: plant metagenome
Description: partial contains 5.8S ribosomal RNA, internal transcribed spacer 2, and large subunit ribosomal RNA
Rfam family: 5.8S ribosomal RNA (bases 1-105)
Source: RNAcentral